AGCCUUGUAUUCACGUUGUGAUAAUAGAAUGCAAUUCUGUAGGGGUAGGGUUAUGUAAGCUUACCAAGGCCU
RNAcentral lists this transfer RNA (72 nucleotides) under Reticulitermes virginicus (dark southern subterranean termite). RNAcentral describes it as "tRNA-Cys". Lineage: Eukaryota; Metazoa; Arthropoda; Insecta; Blattodea; Rhinotermitidae. The record is from RNAcentral.